GACGAACGCUGGCGGCGUGCCUAAUACAUGCAAGUUGAGCGCUGAAGGUUGGUACUUGUACCGACUGGAUGAGCAGCGAACGGGUGAGUAACGCGUGGGGAAUCUGCCUUUGAGCGGGGGACAACAUUUGGAAACGAAUGCUAAUACCGCAUAAUAACUUUAAACACAAGUUUUAAGUUUGAAAGAUGCUAUUGCAUCACUCAAAGAUGAUCCCGCGUUGUAUUAGCUAGUUGGUGAGGUAAAGGCUCACCAAGGGGAUGAUACAUAGCCGACCUGAGAGGGUGAUCGGCAAAAAUGGGAAUGAGAAACGGCCCAAAAUACUACGGGAGGCAGCAGGAGGGAAACUUCGGGAAUGGAGGAAAGGCUGAACGAGAAACGCCGGGUGAGUGAAGAAGGUGUUCGGAUCGUAAAAAUCUGUUGGUAGAGAAGAAAGAAGGUGAGAGUGGAAAGCUCAUAAAGUGACGGUAACUAACCAGAAAGGGACGGCUAACUACGUG
RNAcentral lists this ribosomal RNA (497 nucleotides) under uncultured bacterium. Its description in RNAcentral is "partial 16S ribosomal RNA". It matches the Rfam family "Bacterial small subunit ribosomal RNA", at positions 28 to 507 of the family's 1533-position model. The record is from RNAcentral.